Long non-coding RNA from Dermacentor silvarum, 696 nucleotides. RefSeq lists it as uncharacterized. The transcript has 2 exons. The record is from RefSeq and is a predicted model, not a curated record. Lineage: Eukaryota; Metazoa; Arthropoda; Arachnida; Ixodida; Ixodidae.
CAGUGCAUAUCGGGGAGUUUUUUGGAGGUGGCGGUAGUUCUGAAAUGUUCAGACAGAAAAACAAAGUUUUAAAACAUUCUUCGUGUUUUUGGAUUUCUCAUCGUGUGUAAUAGCAUUUCCAUGCUGAACAAUGUAGAGUAUAAAAUUAGACAAUAGUUCGAAGCAGUUAAACUUUUCGAAAUGUAAUCUUUAUUGCAUAUAUAUACACUUCCCAUAGAAAAUGAACUCAUUAUAAUUGAGACAUUUUCGCAGGAGGGGGGUGCUACGCCAGGGCGUAGACAUUAAAAAAAAUCGCCGCUUAAGCACUCGGUACAGAUGGUUAACCAGCGAGGCUGAAACGUGCGGCCCCGGUGUUCAUCACUGGGUUAAUCCCGACGGUUCAUUAAAGUAUUUCUCAAUUAUUGGUUACGCCUUUGUGUUUCUUAAUGAGGUUACACACGUUCGGCUGUGACGGAGAGAACGAUGUCACUGACGGUAUGUCUACAGUUUGCCGUUAUCGCUUGCAUUCGAUGUCCCGAGGUUGCUCGGUGGCAUGGUUGGCAGCAUUCGCCCGCCAUUGCCGCUUGUGAUCCUUCGAAAUUAAAUUGCUUCAAAAUUAUAUCUCCGUUACGUAACACAAUGAAUGGCUCAUAUCUCCUUAAAGGGACCUUGAGACUAUUUUGUACAAACGUAAUGAGUCGUUAAGAAGCAACAUAA